AUUGAACGCUGGCGGCAGGCCUAACACAUGCAAGUCGAACGGUAACAGGAAGCAGCUUGCUGCUUUGCUGACGAGUGGCGAACGGGUGAGUAAUGUCUGGGAAACUGCCCGAUGGAGGGGGAUAACUACUGGAAACGGUAGCUAAUACCGCAUAACGUCGCAAGACCAAAGAGGGGGACCUUAGGGACUCUUGCCAUCGGAUGUGCCCAGAUGGGAUUAGCUAGUAGGUGGGGUAACGGCUCACCUAGGCGACGAUCCCUAGCUGGUCUGAGAGGAUGACUAGCCACACUGUAACUGAGACACGGUCCAGACUCCUACAGUAGGCAGCGGUGCGGAAUAUUGCACAAUGCGGGCAAGCCUGAUGCAGCCAUGCCGCGUGUAUGAAGAAGGCCUUCGGGUUGUAAAGUACUUUCAGCGGGGAGGAAGUGAGUAAAGUUAAUACCUUUGCUCAUUGACGUUACCCGCAGAAGAAGCACCGGCUAACUCCGUG
RNAcentral lists this ribosomal RNA (490 nucleotides) under uncultured bacterium. Its description in RNAcentral is "partial 16S ribosomal RNA". It matches the Rfam family "Bacterial small subunit ribosomal RNA", at positions 30 to 507 of the family's 1533-position model. The record is from RNAcentral.